UGUGGUUAUCUUGGUCAGUGUGUGUGUGUGUGUGUGUGGUUAUCUUGGUCAGUGUGUGUGUGUGGUUGUCUUGGUCAGUGUGUGUGUGUGGUUGUCUUGGUCAGUGUGUGUGUGUGGUUGUCUUGGUCAGUGUGUGUGGUUGUGUUGGUCGGUGUGUGUGUGUGCAUGUGGUUGUCUUGGUGAGUUUGUGUGUAUGUGGUUUUCUGGGUCAGUGUGUGUGUAUGUAAUUGUCUUGGUCAGUGUGUGUAUGUGUUUGUCUUGGUGAGUUUGUUGUGUGUGUGG
Gadus macrocephalus (Pacific cod) is the source of this 282-nucleotide long non-coding RNA. RefSeq lists it as uncharacterized. The transcript is spliced from 2 exons. The record is from RefSeq and is a predicted model, not a curated record. NCBI's taxonomy places the organism in Eukaryota, Metazoa, Chordata, Actinopteri, Gadiformes, Gadidae.